RNAcentral lists this unclassified non-coding RNA (289 nucleotides) under uncultured bacterium. RNAcentral describes it as "16S-23S ribosomal RNA intergenic spacer". The record is from RNAcentral.
CUAAGGAGUUUUGUUUUCACUCCGUGUUUUUCUUUUGUUGCGGGGUGGCUCUUUUGUUUUUUUAAAAUCCAAGUUUCUGUUUUGGUGCAAGCAUGGUUGGCGCAUUGUUGGGUGUCUGAGGCGACACGUGGCACAUCAGUUUGUGGUGUGUUGUGUUGUUUCUGGCGCUGUCUUGCUGGCACGUGAGUGUGUUGGUGGGUGGUGUUGGUGUUGUUUGAGAACUGUAUAGUGGACGCGAGCAAUUAAUUGUGUUUUUUGUUCUUAGUGUUUGUUCUUCUUGAUUGUUUGU